This 301-nucleotide ribosomal RNA is filed under the name uncultured bacterium. RNAcentral describes it as "partial 16S ribosomal RNA". It matches the Rfam family "Bacterial small subunit ribosomal RNA", at positions 509 to 809 of the family's 1533-position model. The record is from RNAcentral.
CAGCCGCCGCGGGAAUACGUAGGGGGCGAGCGUUGUCCGGAAUUACUGGGCGUAAAGGGCACGCAGGCUGUGAUUCAAGUCGGCUGUAAAAGGAUGCGGCUUAACCGUGUUUAGCAGUUGAAACUGGAUGACUGGAGUGCUGGAGAGGCAAGUGGAAUUCCCAGUGUAGCGGUGAAAUGCGUAGAUAUUGGGAAGAACAUCGGUGGCGAAGGCGACUUGCUGGCCAGUAACUGACGCUGAGGUGCGAAAGCCAGGGUAGCAAACGGGAUUAGAUACCCGGGUAGUCCCUGUCUCUUAUACA